GGAGCGAAAGACUAAUCAAACCCCGUGAUAGCUGGUUCUCUUCGAAAUCGCUUGAGGGCGAGCGUCGGGAAAGUAAACCGUGGAGGUAGAGCACUGGAUGGCUUAGAGUCCACACCAGGAUAUCAAAACCAAUCAAACUCCGAAUUCCACGGGAUCCAUUACCCCGGCAGUCAGACGGUGGGGGAUAAGCUCCAUCGUCGAGAGGGCAACAGUCCAGAUCGUCGGCUAAGGUGCCUAAACGUCGUUAAGUGGAAAGGAUGUGAAGUUACUUAGACAGUGAGGAUGUUGGCUUAGAGGCAGCCAUAAUUUAAACAGUGCGUAACAGCUG
This 328-nucleotide ribosomal RNA is filed under the name Blepharisma japonicum. Its description in RNAcentral is "partial Bacterial large subunit ribosomal RNA". It matches the Rfam family "Bacterial large subunit ribosomal RNA", at positions 818 to 1143 of the family's 2925-position model. The record is from RNAcentral. Lineage: Eukaryota; Ciliophora; Heterotrichea; Heterotrichida; Blepharismidae.